This 415-nucleotide ribosomal RNA is filed under the name bacterium enrichment culture clone ALO1_GLFRUDD03F37OX. Its description in RNAcentral is "bacterial SSU rRNA". It matches the Rfam family "Bacterial small subunit ribosomal RNA", at positions 9 to 426 of the family's 1533-position model. RNAcentral also lists the same sequence under 2 other names. The record is from RNAcentral.
GAGUUUGAUCGUGGCUCAGAUUGAACGCUGGCGGCAUGCCUUACACAUGCAAGUCGAACGGCAGCACGGGAGCUUGCUCCUGGUGGCGAGUGGCGAACGGGUGAGUAAUGCAUCGGAACGUAUCCUGGAGUGGGGGAUAACGUAGCGAAAGUUACGCUAAUACCGCAUAUUCUGUGAGCAGGAAAGCGGGGGACCUUCGGGCCUCGCGCUCUUGGAGCGGCCGAUGUCGGAUUAGCUAGUUGGUGAGGUAAAGGCUCACCAAGGCGACGAUCCGUAGCAGGUCUGAGAGGAUGAUCUGCCACACUGGAACUGAGACACGGUCCAGACUCCUACGGGAGGCAGCAGUGGGGAAUUUUGGACAAUGGGGGCAACCCUGAUCCAGCCAUGCCGCGUGAGUGAAGAAGGCCUCGGUUGU